UACGAAGGGUGCAAACGUUGCUCGGAAUUAUUGGGCGUAAAGCGCACGUAGGCGGCAUUGCAAGCCAGAUGUGAAAUCCCCGGGCUUAACCUGGGAAUGGCAUUUGGGACUGCAAGGCUGGAGUACGGCAGAGGAGACUGGAAUUCCUGGUGUAGCAGUGAAAUGCGUAGAGAUCAGGAGGAAUACCGAUGGCGAAGGCAGGUCUCUGGGCUGAUACUGACGCUCAUGCACGAAAGCGUGGGGAGCAAACAGG
RNAcentral lists this ribosomal RNA (253 nucleotides) under uncultured bacterium. RNAcentral's name for it is "partial 16S ribosomal RNA". It matches the Rfam family "Bacterial small subunit ribosomal RNA", at positions 524 to 776 of the family's 1533-position model. The record is from RNAcentral.